This is a long non-coding RNA of Asparagus officinalis (garden asparagus), 358 nucleotides long. RefSeq lists it as uncharacterized. The record is from RefSeq and is a predicted model, not a curated record. The transcript has 3 exons. NCBI's taxonomy places the organism in Eukaryota, Viridiplantae, Streptophyta, Magnoliopsida, Asparagales, Asparagaceae.
CUAUCUAGUUCUUUUCUCCACAGCGACAAAAAAAAAAAUAAACCUAGAGCGUUCCCCUUCAUCGGGCCGGAUCUCGGCGCUGCUCCUCAAUGUGUUUUGAGACCGAAGGCUCAUUAAGCUUGCGGCUAUAGAACAAAAUCCAAGACCUUUCAAUACUUUUGUCUAAUGAUAGGAAAUUCUAGAGGCACUGUCGAAACGUCGGGAAUUGGAUUGGAUUGUCUGUCAAGUUAAGGUAAUUCAGAGUACCGGAGAGUCAUAGGAUGAUGGAAUUCUUGCAUAGUCAUCGUCACAUGAGAUUUAUUAGAGACUCCACGGUAGUUUUAUAUUUUUGUUCAGACCUUAGAGUUUAUUUCAUAGU